Molecule: ribosomal RNA, 1020 nt
Filed under: Clostridioides difficile
Lineage: Bacteria; Bacillati; Bacillota; Clostridia; Peptostreptococcales; Peptostreptococcaceae
Description: bacterial LSU rRNA
Rfam family: Bacterial large subunit ribosomal RNA
Source: RNAcentral
GUGGGUAGCGGUGAAAUUCCAAUCGAGCCCGGAGAUAGCUGGUUCUCCCCGAAAUAGCUUUAGGGCUAGCCUCAAGGUGAGAGAUACGGAGGUAGAGCACUGAAUGUCCUAGGGGGUAUUGCACCUACCGAAGACUAUCAAACUCCGAAUGCCGUCAUCUUAUACUUGGGAGUCAGACUGUGGGUGAUAAGAUUCAUAGUCGAAAGGGCAACAGCCCAGAUCGUCAGCUAAGGUCCCUAAAUGUAAGUUAAGUGGUAAAGGAUGUAGGAUUGCAAAGACAACCAGGAUGUAGAAUUAGAAGAAGCCACUCAUUCAAAGAGUGCGUAAUAGCUCACUGGUCGAGUGAUCCUGCGCCGAAGAUUUCCGGGGCUAAAACUUACUACCGAAGCUACGGCAUCAGUAAUGAUGGGUAGGGGAGCUUCCCAUACGGGUUGAAGCAUGACCGUAAGGACAUGUGGACAGUAUGGGAGUGAGAAUGUUGGCAUGAGUAGCGAGAUGUGGGUGAGAAUCCCACAGGCCGUAAACCCAAGGUUUCCAGGGGAAGGGUCGUCCGCCCUGGGUUAGUCGGGACCUAAGCUGAGGCCGAAAGGCGUAGGUGAUGGACAACAGGUUGAUAUUCCUGUACUACCGAUAACCGUUUGAGAGAGGGGAUGACACAGUAGGAUAAGCUAAGCACACUGUUGGUUAUGUGUGCCCAAGCAUUGAGGCAGUCAAAGUAGGCAAAUCCGCUUUGAUAAUGCUGGGAUGUGAUGGGGAGCGAAAUUUAGUAGCGAAGUAGCUGAUUUCACACUGUCAAGAAAAGUCUCUAUCGAGGUUAAAGGUACCCGUACCGCAAACCGACACAGGUGGGUGAGGAGAGUAUCCUAAGGCCAGCGAGAGAACUGUUGUUAAGGAACUCGGCAAAAUGACCCCGUAACUUAGGGAUAAGGGGUGCCACCAUCAGGUGGCCGCAGAGAAUAGGCCCAAGCGACUGUUUACCAAAAACAUAGGUUUCUGCUAAGUCGCAAGACGAUGUAUAGG